UGGCUCAGACGGUAAAGUGUCUGCUUGCAAUGCAGGAGACCCAGGUUCGAUCCCUGG
This 57-nucleotide transfer RNA is filed under the name Bos taurus (domestic cattle). It matches the Rfam family "tRNA", at positions 8 to 63 of the family's 71-position model. From Rfam's summary of the family: Transfer RNA (tRNA) molecules are approximately 80 nucleotides in length. Their secondary structure includes four short double-helical elements and three loops (D, anti-codon, and T loops). Further hydrogen bonds mediate the characteristic L-shaped molecular structure. tRNAs have two regions of fundamental functional importance: the anti-codon, which is responsible for specific mRNA codon recognition, and the 3' end, to which the tRNAs corresponding amino acid is attached (by aminoacyl-tRNA synthetases). tRNAs cope with the degeneracy of the genetic code in two manners: having more than one tRNA (with a specific anti-codon) for a particular amino acid; and 'wobble' base-pairing, i.e. permitting non-standard base-pairing at the 3rd anti-codon position. Lineage: Eukaryota; Metazoa; Chordata; Mammalia; Artiodactyla; Bovidae. RNAcentral also lists the same sequence under 3 other names. The record is from Rfam by way of RNAcentral.